RNAcentral lists this long non-coding RNA (314 nucleotides) under Salvia miltiorrhiza (redroot sage). RNAcentral describes it as "long non-coding RNA (SMIL_LNC010880)". Lineage: Eukaryota; Viridiplantae; Streptophyta; Magnoliopsida; Lamiales; Lamiaceae. The record is from RNAcentral.
GAAAGGGAAAAGGAGGAAGAUGGGCUGGUGGAGAAGAGUUGUUGGCGGGCUGGGUAAUUGACGAGAAUAAUAAGGGGAGGGGAGGGAAGGGAAGGAAAGGGGACGGGAGGGAAGGGGAGAAGAGAACGAGAUAUGGUUUCAAGUUUGAUUUCUUUUUUUUUUUUUUAAAUUUUUAUAUAUUUUAUUUUAAUUUCAUUAAGGAUAAAAUUGUCAAUUAGCAUAAAAAAUUAUUUGAAUUAAUAUAUUUUUAUUUCUAUGGUUAUUAUUAACUUUUUCUUAUGUAAACUGGUUAUUUACGAGUAUUAACAUAAUUU